This 504-nucleotide ribosomal RNA is filed under the name uncultured bacterium. RNAcentral describes it as "bacterial SSU rRNA". It matches the Rfam family "Bacterial small subunit ribosomal RNA", at positions 17 to 518 of the family's 1533-position model. The record is from RNAcentral.
UUAUGGCUCAGGAUGAACGCUGGCGGCGUAGCCUAACACAUGCAAGUCGAGCGAGAAACUCAUGACCAAUACUUCGGUAGCGUGAUUGAGCGGAAAGCGGCGGACGGGUGAGUAACGCGUAGGCAACCUGGCCCCUUGCAGAGGGAUAGCCUCGGGAAACCGGGAUUAAAACCUCAUAAUGCGUAACGGAGACAUCUCCGAUACGCCAAAGAUUUAUCGGCAAGGGAUGGGCCUGCGUCUGAUUAGUUAGUUGGUGGGGUAACGGCCUACCAAGGCAGCGAUCAGUAGCCGACCUGAGAGGGUGAUCGGCCACAUUGGAACUGAGACACGGUCCAAACUCCUACGGGAGGCAGCAGUGGGGAAUAUUGCACAAUGGGCGAAAGGCCCUGAUGCAGCAACGCCGCGUGAAGGAUGAAGGCCCUUGGGUCGUAAACUUCUGUUCUAAGGGAAGAUAAUGACGGUACCUUAGGAGCAAGUCCCGGCUAACUACGUGCCAGCAGCGGC